Molecule: ribosomal RNA, 406 nt
Filed under: uncultured bacterium
Lineage: Bacteria
Description: partial 16S ribosomal RNA
Rfam family: Bacterial small subunit ribosomal RNA
Source: RNAcentral
AUUGAACGCUGGCGGCAGGCCUAACACAUGCAAGUAGAACGAGUGGCGGACGGGUGAGUAAUGUCUGGGAAACUGCCUGAUGGAGGGGGAUAACUACUGGAAACGGUAGCUAAUACCGCAUACCAUCAGAUGUGCCCAGAUGGGAUUAGCUAGUUGGUGGGGUAACGGCUCAACAAGGCGACGAUCCAUAGCUGGUCUGAGAGGAGGACCGGCCACACUGGAACGGGGACACGGUCCAACCUCCUACGGUGUGCAGCAGUGGGGAAUAUUGCACAAUGGGCGCAAGCCUGAUGCAGCCAUGCCGCGUGUAUGAAGAAGGCCUUCGGGUUGUAAAGUACUUUCAGCGGGGAGGCGUUACCCGCAGAAGAAGCACCGGCUAACUCCGUGCCAGCAGCCGCGGUAAUAC